UCCCUCCCCCCCCCCCCCCCCCCCCCCGCCACCGUGCCCCACGCAGCCCCACUUGCGUCUCUCCACGCGGAACCCCUCCGCGCUGCGCCGCCCGCCAUGGAGCCCAGGAGGUGGGGAAGGGGAGGUCGUGAGGAGCGAGGAGGCCGGGAGCCUGGUACCCAGCCAGUCGAGGGGAUGCGGGAGGGAGUGGGAGACGGUGGCAGGGGAGGGGAUACAAAUAACUAAUGGGUUUCUACGGUGAGUGGAAAAUGCAAUUAUGGACGAUGGAUGAGUAUGCCGUGUGGAAGAACGAAAUUAUGGCUUGCUGAUAGGAAGUCAUUACCUUUAACCCACCAGCCAAACCCACGGACUGACGGACGAGAGUGGAGGUCCGCAAGAACCCGCAGCCUCGUCUCAUGUCUCUCUCACUCCCAAAUCCUUCGCAGCGCCACCGCCGCCACCGUGGCUCAGGUGGCUUGGGCCUGCCCGCCGACGCCGUGCUGCUCUCCCCUUCCUCCUUGGCCAAGUGCUCCUGGAAGGCAUCAAUGGCGCAGUCGAUGGCCUCACCAUCACCAUCCAGGAACCUAUCCCAGAAGGACCAGUAGCCCUUCCGCCCUCGACUCUACCCUCGCUGGGGCCGGCGGCGCCGAGGACUACCAUGAAGCGAGCACCAGAUUCGAAGAAAGAAUGGAGGAGAUUUGAGGAUGAAGAUUCAUUGUUUUACUUUGUUGCUAUUGUUAUUCUCGAAAGAUUUCAGAUCAUACGCUUCUAUCAAGAUUACCGCAGGGCCAAGAUUUGAGAUUUGAUUAGUCUUUUGAAAACCUAUGGAAUAUCGAGUUGAAGUGCCGUAAAGCAUGUUAAUCUAUAUAUUCAGAAUUGAUUGAGUAAACUAUUUGUCAAUCCUAAAAUAUUCACAUAUUUACAACUUGAUUGUUACACAAAUUUGGGUAAUAUAAUCUGCACAUGCUUUUAACCUGUAGUCAUAGUUUUCUGCAAAUGUUUAUAGUUUAGGCUUAAUCUUGUAGGUUUGUUAUUCUAAUGAUAAACAUUCUUAUUUUCGAAACUUGCAGAUUUGAAUCAAGAGGUUGUUUUGCAAUUUUUUGAACUAUUUGCUAUUGUUAGUGUUAAAGUUUUGUGAUUUGCUUUUUUUCUAAAAAUUUUCUAAAUUGUUAGUGGGCGGCCACGAACCCGCAAGAUCAGUUUUGUGGCGAGCUUUGCGGGUUGCGACUGGCCGCAACCCGCCCCGCCUGCAAUGGGAGGGAUAACCCUUGCGACCGCAGGGGCAUGCGGAAAAUCCGUGUAUUCGUGCAAUGAAAUCCUCGACAUGUACCGUCGAGUAUACAAGCAUCAUAAGCUUGUUAGGGCAUCCGCAGUAGCGAUUCGUUUCGUCAAGGAGAGAGAAGGCCACGUAGAUGCAAAAUAGAAUCAUCAAGAAGUCGACUCUUUCUUCUCCAGUGGUGUGGGAGCCCCCAACCGACUCAUCCUUGCCUUUUCAACUACCAGCCGCUUCUCUCUCUUUUGUGCGAGGUGUGGCCAAUUCAUUUUUUAUUCGGAUGAACCGAUGCAAGAUCUUGCAUCGACUCCUCUCUCUCUCCUCAACGAGUCGGCAUUCUCCAGUGAUAAAGUCAACUCAUCCAGAUUCCACAUAGGAGCAUGGUUCGCUUUGUGAAAGCCACUGGAGAAGCCCUUAUAGAUUGUUCUCGGCGAAAGUCUGAUAUUCUGAAGGAGAAAUCUGAAGAUAUCCAACAGGUUAGGAGCUGGGAUUGGAUGGGUGCUCCAAAAUCGAUUGCAGGUGGUUUCUGCAAAAAACUAGGAGGAACACACACACACACACACACACACACACACACACACACACACACUGCAAACUCCACCUUGCAACUCCUAUCAGCAGCAUGACACAGAACAAGCAAAACAUCCUGACUAGCCCGGCAAUUAAAUGAAGGGAGAAGUGAUCAUUGAUGGAUGCAAUGCGAAUAUGUAGAAACUACUAGUAGUCUAGUACAUCAAAUCCAAUCUUUUUUAAAAAAAAAAUAACAUCAACUCUUUCUCUCCAUCCAUUUGGACAUAUGGUCCUGGUCACGGCUUUGCCAUCUAUGCGUAGCCCAAACAAUAUGGCAACAUCUUGCAGUGUAAUUGUCAUCUCACCCGCAGGAAGGUGGACAAUACUCAUAUCGAGGAUCUGCCUUCUGACCACUAAGAUGUUUGUAACAAGUACGAUGCUCACACACGGAUGGGUAGGCAACCCGAAAGAGGACCCUUUGAAGAUUACAUUGUAAACUGUAAUACAGAUUAAGAGACUCCAACUACAGUGCAUUAGUUUACAAACUAAUCUGUAUCCAAACUAUACUGUACCUAGAUAAGAUAAUUGUGCACAAUGGAGUCAACACUUUGGAUUGAACAUGCUCUAAGAUGGUCAUAUCCUUAAGUUCUCA
Panicum virgatum (switchgrass) is the source of this 2414-nucleotide long non-coding RNA. RefSeq lists it as uncharacterized. The record is from RefSeq and is a predicted model, not a curated record. The transcript has 4 exons. Lineage: Eukaryota; Viridiplantae; Streptophyta; Magnoliopsida; Poales; Poaceae.